Molecule: ribosomal RNA, 253 nt
Filed under: uncultured bacterium
Lineage: Bacteria
Description: partial 16S ribosomal RNA
Rfam family: Bacterial small subunit ribosomal RNA
Source: RNAcentral
UACAGAGGUCUCAAGCGUUGUUCGGAUUCAUUGGGCGUAAAGGGUGCGCAGGCUGUUGUGUAAGUCGGAUGUGAAAUCCCGGAGCUUAACUCCGGAACUGCAUUCGAUACUGCAUGACUAGAGGACUGGAGAGGAGAUUGGAAUUCACGGUGUAGCAGUGAAAUGCGUAGAUAUCGUGAGGAAGACCAGUGGCGAAGGCGAAUCUCUGGACAGAUCCUGACGCUCAUGCACGAAGGCUAGGGGAGCAAACGGG